This is a long non-coding RNA of Alligator mississippiensis (American alligator), 1535 nucleotides long. RefSeq lists it as uncharacterized. NCBI's taxonomy places the organism in Eukaryota, Metazoa, Chordata, Crocodylia, Alligatoridae. The transcript is spliced from 3 exons. The record is from RefSeq and is a predicted model, not a curated record.
UAACUCAUUGACUCUGUUUUCAAUCUUGAUUUGUUUUUGGGAUCAUUGAUUUGGAAGGAACCUCCUGGGUCAUUGCAUCCACUCCCCUUUUAUCAUGAGUGGCAUGAAAAAAACAUGCAAGUUGGCAACACUGCACUGAAGAGUCUAACAGCUCUAUCCUAAAGAAAAGCUGCUGUCUGUUCCACUUGCAAGUUCUCCUGUGGCACCUGAUCUCAUAGGCACGGAUGUGGAAUUAGGGGAAUACAAAGGCAAAAAGAACAACAUAAUAAAGAAGUCAUGAAGAAAGCUUUGUGAAGAGCCAAGUGAUUCAAGAAACAGACAGGUGGAACGUUUCUCAUUUCCUGCAGUCCCAUCUCAAUAUACUUCAACAAGUGAACCGUAUUUUACCAUCAGCAUCUCCCAUUCAAGUACAGCAGUUUGCUCUGAUCAGUGAUCCUUUGCCUUUUAUUGAGCUAAGCCUAGAGGAUGACAAAAAGGAAGGAAAAAGCAAAGAAUUUCUCCAGGGACAAAUCAUCUUAAAAUACUCCAGUGUGGAACUAGCUUGCAUGUUGAAGAAGACUGCACACUUUUAUCUCCUUUCACGAACUUGGAUAGAAAGUGCAGGAAGGACCUCAAAGGAUAAAGGAGAUGGAAAAUGUUAAGGAGAAAUUAGAUUUUGGGUUUCUUGUGGAUACCAGCUUGAAAGACUGUUUUUAGAUUAAUAAAUUUAAAGACUUUGUUAUUAAAUGCCAGCUCCUUAAUUUUGCCUGUUUCUUAAAUCACAUAUUCACAUCAAAAGGUACGGUCAUUUCUGUGAGUUUUAUGAACAGAGGAAAUUCAGACUGCAUAGCAAAAUAAUUGUCAGCUAUUGCUAUCUUAUCUGUAUGGCUCUAAUCCCAAAGCCCUUACUGAGGUAAGCUCUCAUUGACUCUGGUGAUUUCAUGGAUACAAGGAUAAUAAUAAUCUAAAUUGUGUUACGUGGGUCAUUACAUUCUGGCCAGCUGGAGGGGAGAGAACUCUGCAUUAACUAGUUAUUCUUUUUCAUUUCCCACCCCUUUGUUGUUACACACUUGCUGAAGCAUGACGAUGCCAAUGCAAAACAAACCUUACUGGUUUAUGUAUAUACGUGGUGCGAUAUAAACUGCAUAUGCCCUGGGCCUUAAAUUUUUAACAUAGAAUUGCAUCCAGUUUUCCUGAGAUAGUUUUAAAAAUACUGUAUAAGAGUUAAUUUCUUGAAUUGUGGGUACAUGUCAGAUCUGAUAAUGAAUGACUCAUUCCUGGAGAAGAGACAGGUUCUCAAUUAAUAAUAGUUUACAAUUCUGUAAUGUGCUUUGAAUGUUCUGGAGGACAGAUAUACAAAACUGUAAAGGUAAAACUCUGGCUUUUAAAUAUUGGACUGUAAUGCAUUAAGUAGCCUAAGGACGUUUAGACCUAGCUGCUGUAGAAAAUAUUUGCUGGUAUAUCUAUACUGUCCUAGGAUACAUACAGUUUAUGCCUGCAAAACAGUGCUUUUACUAGCAUGACUUCUUUCUACUUUCUCAAAUAAAAUAAACUGU